UACGGAGGAUGCAAGCGUUAUCCGGAUUCAUUGGGUUUAAAGGGUGCGCAGGCGGGCUUGUAAGUCAGUGGUGAAAUACUGCCGCUUAACGGUAGAACUGCCAUUGAUACUGCAAGUCUUGAAUAUGGUUGAGGUAGGCGGAAUGUGUCGUGUAGCGGUGAAAUGCAUAGAUAUGACACAGAACGCCAAUUGCGAAGGCAGCUUACUAAGCCAUUAUUGACGCUGAGGCACGAAAGCGUGGGGAGCGAACAGGAUUAGAUACCCGAGUA
This 269-nucleotide ribosomal RNA is filed under the name uncultured prokaryote. RNAcentral's name for it is "partial 16S ribosomal RNA". It matches the Rfam family "Bacterial small subunit ribosomal RNA", at positions 524 to 792 of the family's 1533-position model. The record is from RNAcentral.